UGGUUCAGUGGAAAGAACAUUGGCUUGGGGAGUCAGAAAACCUAUGUUCAAAUCUUAG
RNAcentral lists this transfer RNA (58 nucleotides) under Sarcophilus harrisii (Tasmanian devil). It matches the Rfam family "tRNA", at positions 8 to 63 of the family's 71-position model. Rfam says of the family: Transfer RNA (tRNA) molecules are approximately 80 nucleotides in length. Lineage: Eukaryota; Metazoa; Chordata; Mammalia; Dasyuromorphia; Dasyuridae. The record is from Rfam by way of RNAcentral.